RNAcentral lists this ribosomal RNA (328 nucleotides) under uncultured Niabella sp. RNAcentral's name for it is "bacterial SSU rRNA". It matches the Rfam family "Bacterial small subunit ribosomal RNA", at positions 568 to 898 of the family's 1533-position model. The record is from RNAcentral. Lineage: Bacteria; Pseudomonadati; Bacteroidota; Chitinophagia; Chitinophagales; Chitinophagaceae.
UGCGUAGGUGGGUCUGUAAGUCCGUGGUGAAAUCUCCGAGCUUAACUUGGAAACUGCCAUGGAUACUAUAGGUCUUGAAUACUGUGGAGGUCAGCGGAAUAUGUCAUGUAGCGGUGAAAUGCUUAGAUAUGACAUAGAACACCAAUUGCGAAGGCAGCUGGCUACACAAAUAUUGACACUGAGGCACGAAAGCGUGGGGAUCAAACAGGAUUAGAUACCCUGGUAGUCCACGCCCUAAACGAUGGAUACUCGACAUUUGCGAUACACAGCAAGUGUCUGAGCGAAAGCAUUAAGUAUCCCACCUGGGAAGUACGAUCGCAAGAUUGAA